UUAACCUCAGCUCAGUCAUGAAUACCCGCUGAAUUUAAGCAUAUAACUAAGCGGAGGAAAAGAAACUAACGAGGAUUUCCCUAGUAACGGCGAGUGAACGGGAAAAAGCCCAGCGCUGAAUCCUUUUAGCCGUUGGCUCUAAGGAACUGUAGCGUAUAGGUGUAACUAUCCAGAUGAUUCGUUCACCCAAAGUCCCCUUGAGCGGGGCUACAGUCCAUAGAAGGUGCUAGGCCUGUACGGGUGGUGAAACGUUUGGUUUGGUUGCACUUUGGAGUCGGGUUGCCUGAGAUCGCAGCCCAAAGUGGGUGGUAAACCUCAUCUAAGGCUAAAUACGGCCACGAGACCGAUAGCAAACAAGUACCGUGAGGGAAAGUUGCAAAGAACUUUGAAGAGAGAGUUCAAGAGGGCGUGAAACCGCUGAGAUGGAAGCGGAUAGCGUUGACAAAACUUAUCGGUAUUCAACCGAUUAAUUUAGCGGUCUUACCGUUCUGUAUCUCUGGUGGUAAAACACAUGGAGAGCAUUGCGGUGAGUUUACUGUUGCAUUGAAUUGGUGUAUUUGCCGGUAGUAUGCGCCGAAAAUUUCGCUGUUGCAUAUUGAGACAUUUUUGGAUGUAGUGGACUGUACCAAUUUUGGUAUGGAAACCUGCAUUCUGUUAAAAUAUGUCUUCGGUGAAAUUACCAAGUGUAUUGUAACUUUCGAUUCACACAACUGUGUGUAUUGCAUUCAUUGCAUCUUGCAAUUGUUACAGUUUGUAUGCAGUCGCUUGCGACUUUUUGGCUUCAAUUUGUUCUUUGCAAAUGCGGUUCAGAUUCAAUGCGAUAAAGUUGCAUUUCGGUGUGAACGUCAACCACCUAUCCGACCCGUCUUGAAACACGGACCAAGGAGUUUAGCAUAUGCGCAAGCUAUUGGGUGGUAAACCCGUUCAAAAGACACAAUGAAAGUAAAGAUCAUUAUUGUUUUGAUUGUUAUGUGAUCCGUAUUGUUGUUAAUACAAUACGGCGCAACAUGGCCCCGUCCAUGUUUAGCUCUUUGAGCAAACGGGGCGGAGAUAGAGCGUAUACGCUGAGACCCGAAAGAUGGUGAACUAUGCCUGAGCAGGAUGAAGCCAGAGGAAACUCUGGUGGAGGUCCGAAGCGAUUCUGACGUGCAAAUCGAUCGUCCGACUUGGGUAUAGGGGCGAAAGACUAAUCGAACUAUCUAGUAGCUGGUUCCCUCU
This 1218-nucleotide ribosomal RNA is filed under the name Gongylonema pulchrum. RNAcentral describes it as "eukaryotic LSU rRNA". It matches the Rfam family "Eukaryotic large subunit ribosomal RNA", at positions 1 to 962 of the family's 3401-position model. Lineage: Eukaryota; Metazoa; Nematoda; Chromadorea; Rhabditida; Gongylonematidae. The record is from RNAcentral.